This is an RNA transcript of Syngnathus typhle (broad-nosed pipefish), 3713 nucleotides long. It is a transcript of the gene named ATPase cation transporting 13A2, with no coding region annotated. Lineage: Eukaryota; Metazoa; Chordata; Actinopteri; Syngnathiformes; Syngnathidae. The transcript has 29 exons. The record is from RefSeq and is a predicted model, not a curated record.
UUUGACAAGCGCGUGAAAUUAGUCUUGGCCCUCACCACGUACCAUAGACGCAUGUUUGCAGACGACGUGUUAUCUGUUUUGUUUUGGGCGGCAACAUGGCUUAAAUAAAAGUGAAACAAGUCAUUAUGGAAGUGGCGACUCGUCAGCAGUAGACGAAUUAAACUGCUGGCUGGAUUUCUACAGCCAGCCUACAUGACUCACCUCGCUUGUUGUGCCUGACUGACACAUGGAUGCCCAGGGGUACAAGUGGGUCCGAUGGCGGGUGUGGCUGUGUCACGUGGUGGCUGUGCUGUCCCUGGGUGUUCUCCUCAUUGUGUUUCGCUGGCGCCCACGGCUAGCUCUUUUUGCACGCUGCCGUCCCUGUCCUCUGGGGCUUGCAGAUCUUGUGCUAAUACGAGAUAAUUGUGGCAUAUUCCAUGUGGUGGAGGUUCUCACAGAGGAGUUGGAGGAGGGAAGUUUGGAAUUAUUGGGCGAUACAGAGACUACAGAAUGGAGGGACACAGUUGAGCUUUACCAGGAGAAGAAAACUCUACUGCGCUACUACCUGUUUGAAGGACUUCGCUUCAUAUGGUUGGACAGGAAGGCCACUUUCUGUCUUGCAAGUGUCCUAAAUGAGGACUGGACCUGCAAGGACCUUCAUGGUUACAAAAAUGGUUUGAGUCACCUUGAGCAGAACUUUAGGAGACAAGUGUAUGGGCCCAACGUGAUUGAUGUGCCUGUGAAGUCUUACUUCAAACUAUUGAUUGAGGAGGUGCUCAACCCCUUUUAUGUGUUCCAGUUAUUUAGCAUGGUCCUGUGGACGGUUGAUGAAUAUUACUACUACUCCACGAGUAUAUUUUUAAUUUCUCUUAUAUCCAUUGGUAUCUCACUUUAUGAGAUCCGCAAGCAAAGAGUCAUUCUUCACAACAUGGCCCGAUUGGUCACUAAUGUCACCGUGAUAAGGACCUCUGGAGAUAAACGUGUUUUAUCAGAACAGGAGAACGUUAGUUCAAUGGAGCUGGUGCCUGGUGACUGCAUAUGCUUACCUAAGAAUGGCCUGCUGAUGCCUUGUGAUGCUGCCCUGCUGGCAGGGGAGUGUCUGAUAAAUGAGGGCAUGUUGACAGGUGAGAGCGUUCCAGUGCUGAAAACUCCCCUGCUGGAUUCGGAGAAUAUAUACAACUCGGCCGCUGAGCGCAAGCACACGCUGUUCUGUGGAACGCAGCUCAUCAGGGCCAAAGGAGGAGGUCUCGGUGAUUUUGGUGCUGUCGCCGUAGUCACAGGCACUGGAUUUUUUACUGCCAAAGGUAACUUGAUCAGCUCCAUUUUGUACCCUCAGCCAACCAGCUUUCGCUUCUACCGAGACGCUGCAAAGUUCUUGGUCAUCUUGGGGUUUCUUGCUUGUAUUGGGACAAUUUACAGCUUUGUUAUACUCUCAAACUAUGACAUGAGCUGGUUUUCGGUGGUGAUUCGGGUUUUGGAUAUUAUCACCAUUGUGGUGCCUCCGGCCCUGCCUGCCGCCAUCACUGUCGGCACCAUCUAUGCCCAGAACAGACUGAAAAGGCAAGGCAUCUUCUGCAUAAGUCCACCACGCAUCAAUGUCUGUGGCAAGGUGUCGCUCUUUUGUUUUGACAAGACAGGAACCUUGACAGAGGAGGGCCUGGAUGUGUGGGGAGUCAUGGAAGCGCGAUCUGCCGGUUUUUCAGAUGUGGUCUCUGACCCUAGACUUCUCCCACCUGGGCCAAUGCUCUCGUGCCUUGCCUGCUGUCACACUCUUGCCCUGCUGGAAGGGCAGCCCAUUGGAGACCCUCUGGAGCUCAAAAUGUUCAAAUCUACCGGUUGGACACUCCAGGAACCAGAGGAAGACAGUGGUGUGCUGGAUGCGGAGUUCGGAGGGCACAAAGUGUUAGCUGUAAUGAAACAUCCUCCGAGCCUUCUUCCUUUUCACCUAAAUUCCUCAGGCGCACCUGUGGCAAUCGUUCAGCGGUUUCCCUUCUCUUCGGCCUUGCAGAGGAUGAGCGUGGUGACUGUGGCCUGCGGGGGGCGCUCUGCUAUAGCUUUCAUGAAAGGUUCUCCAGAAAUGGUGGCAAGCCUCUGCAGACAAGAAACUGUACCGCCGCAGUUUUCAAAGAAACUAUGCAGAUUUUCCAGUGAAGGUCUUCGAGUUCUUGCUCUUAGUUAUAAAUCAAUGGACACAAGCACUGAUCUAAGGGCCACUGAGCGAGGGGAGGUAGAGAAAGACAUGCAGUUCUUGGGCCUGUUGAUGAUGAAGAACCUGGUGAAGCCAGAGAGCGCUGACGUCAUAUGCACAUUGAGUUUGGCGAAGCUCCGAACUGUCAUGGUCACAGGUGACAACAUUCGAACAGCAGUCAAUGUUGCCCAAAGCUGUGGAAUGGUGAGGGCUGAUGAGAGGGUCAUCUUUGUUGAAGCUGCUGCCCGCACAGCUCAAACCAGACCCAUGCUGAGGUUCACCCUAGAAGAUCAGGAGGGCACGUUAGUCACAGCCCAGGCUCUCUACCAGACACAUUUUGGUUAUCAUUUGGCGAUUAAUGGCAGUUCAUUUGCUGUCCUCUGUGACCACUUCCCUGAGCAUCUGCCAAAGGUUUUGAUGCGAACAACAGUCUUUGCACGUAUGGCUCCUGACCAGAAAACACAACUGGUGAAAGAGUUGCAGAAACUAAACUACCUGGUGGGCAUGUGUGGAGAUGGUGCCAACGAUUGCGGUGCCUUGAGAGCUGCUGACGCCGGCAUCUCUUUGUCAGAGGCAGAGGCUUCCAUCGCUUCGCCUUUUACUUCCAAGACUCAAAACAUCAGCUGUGUGCCACUCCUCAUUAGAGAAGGUCGAUGUUCCCUGGUCACCGCGUUCAGCCUUUUCAGAUACAUGGCCGUGUACAGCAUGAUUCAGUUCUGCUCUGUGCUCAUUCUAUACACAGUGAGCACCAAUCUGGCUGACCUGCAGUUCCUGUUCAUUGACGUUGCGCUUGUGACCCUGUUGGCUAUCGUGAUGGGGAAAGGCGGCCCCAGUGAGAAACUGAGCCCCUACCGGCCUCCGGCCAAUCUGAUGGCCCUGCCCGUUUUAGGCAGCCUCUUCAUCCACAUAUCCAUGAUAAUCUUAGCCCAGUUGACUGUGCUCUUCAUCACCACCUCACAGGAUUGGUCAGUGCAAAGUCAACAACUUGUAUAUUCCGCUCAAUUCCACAGUGUUUGGGACUGCCAACUUACCCAACAUGGACAACACCAGUGUGUUUUCCUUGUCUGGUUUCCAGUACAUCUUCAUGGCUGUGGUGGUAACAAAGGGUCUCCCUCACAAGAAACGUAUUUAUCACAACGUGAUAUUCCUGUGUUUACUCCUCGUCCUGUUCGCCGUGAUGACUUGUCUGGUUUUGUAUCCCGGACCUUUCUUCAUAAAGAUAAUGCAGCUCUAUGACUUCGCUGACUUGAAUUUCAAGAUGCUGCUUGUCGCUCUGGCUGCUCUCAAUUUCCUUGUUUGUUUUGUGGUGGAGAUGCUGAUCGAUGUUGGUGUGCUGAACUAUCUUCACUGUCUAUGCCCAAAGCGUUCAUCCAAGAAAAAGUUCAAACACCUCAACUCAAUCCUUUGCGACCCCAGUGUCCCAUCAUGGCCGCCCCUGAACCAAACACUUUACUCUUCUGAGUACACAGCUGUUGGCAUAAAUUAGUGUCUUGCCCCCUCCUCCUGAAAUACAAACAAUAAUAAAGUGUUUGGAUUUAUGACUCUA